RNAcentral lists this ribosomal RNA (498 nucleotides) under uncultured bacterium. Its description in RNAcentral is "bacterial SSU rRNA". It matches the Rfam family "Bacterial small subunit ribosomal RNA", at positions 370 to 885 of the family's 1533-position model. The record is from RNAcentral.
AAUGGGCGAAAGCCUGAUGCAGCAACGCCGCGUGAGUGAAGAAGGCCUUCGGGUUGUAAAGCUCUGUCUUUUGGGACGAUAAUGACGGUACCAAAGGAGGAAGCCACGGCUAACUACGUGCCAGCAGCCGCGGUAAUACGUAGGUGGCAAGCGUUGUCCGGAUUUACUGGGCGUAAAGGAUGCGUAGGUGGAUAUUUAAGUGGGAUGUGAAAUACCCGGGCUCAACUUGGGUGCUGCAUUCCAAACUGGAUAUCUAGAGUGCAGGAGAGGAAAGUGGAAUUCCUAGUGUAGCAGUGAAAUGCGUAGAUAUUAGGAGGAACACCAGUGGCGAAGGCGGCUUUCUGGACUGUAACUGACACUGAGGCAUGAAAGCGUGGGGAGCAAACAGGAUUAGAUACCCUGGUAGUCCACGCCGUAAACGAUGGGUACUAGGUGUGGGAGUUGUCAUGACUUCCGUGCCGUCGUUAACACAGUAAGUACCCCGCCUGGGGAGUACGA